RNAcentral lists this ribosomal RNA (449 nucleotides) under uncultured bacterium. RNAcentral describes it as "partial 16S ribosomal RNA". It matches the Rfam family "Bacterial small subunit ribosomal RNA", at positions 29 to 523 of the family's 1533-position model. The record is from RNAcentral.
AACGAACGCUGGCGGCAGGCCUAACACAUGCAAGUCGAGCGCCCUCGCGAGGGGGAGCGGCGGACGGGUGAGUAACGCGUGGGAACGUGCCUCUUGCUUCGGAAUAGCCUCGGGAAACUGGGGGUAAUACCGAAUGUGCCCUACGGGGGAAAGAUUUAUCGGCAAGAGAUCGGCCCGCGUUGGAUUAGGUAGUUGGUGGGGUAAUGGCCUACCAAGCCGACGAUCCAUAGCUGGUUUGAGAGGAUGAUCAGCCACACUGGGACUGAGACACGGCCCAGACUCCUACGGGAGGCAGCAGUGGGGAAUCUUAGACAAUGGGCGCAAGCCUGAUCUAGCCAUGCCGCGUGAGCGAUGAAGGCCUUAGGGUUGUAAAGCUCUUUCGUGGGGGAAGAUAAUGACUGUACCCCAAGAAGAAGCCCCGGCUAACUCCGUGCCAGCAGCCGCCGUAA